This 253-nucleotide ribosomal RNA is filed under the name uncultured bacterium. RNAcentral's name for it is "partial 16S ribosomal RNA". It matches the Rfam family "Bacterial small subunit ribosomal RNA", at positions 524 to 776 of the family's 1533-position model. The record is from RNAcentral.
UACGGAGGGUGCAAGCAUUAAUCGGAUUUAUUGGGCGUAAAGGGCGCGUAGGCGGAUCUAUAAGUCAGAUGUGAAAUCCCGGGGCUCAACCCCGGAACGGCAUUUGAUACUGUAGGCCUAGAGGGUAGGCGGAGAAAAUGGAAUUCCACAUGUAGCGGUGAAAUGCGUAGAUAUGUGGAAGAACACCGGUGGCGAAGGCGAUUUUCUAGCUUAUACCUGACGCUGAGGCGCGAAAGCAAGGGGAGCAAACAGG